GUGAAUCAUCGAAUCUUUGAACGCACAUUGCACUUGUCCUUGUGGCAAGUAUGCCUGUUUGAGAAUCAUAAACACCACACACCUUGCGUUCAGUAUGGUGAAUCAGACAUGGCGAUUCAGCAUGUGCUGAUUGCUGAAAUUGAUUAGAUUGGUUGAUUGCUGCUGGAUCGGGUCGCAAUGAGAUGGAGACAACUGGUCUUGCUUGAACUGUGAACCCCAUUGCUGACUUGGUGCAUCCAUCGGCAGUCUGCGCGCCAGUCUCACAACGACCCACUUAAUAUACCAAUUUGGUCUCAAAUCAGGCAAGACUACCCGCUGAACUUAAGCAUAUCAAUAAGCGGAGG
This 344-nucleotide ribosomal RNA is filed under the name uncultured fungus. RNAcentral describes it as "eukaryotic LSU rRNA". The stretch from base 289 to 344 matches the Rfam family "Eukaryotic large subunit ribosomal RNA", at positions 1 to 56 of the family's 3401-position model. Lineage: Eukaryota; Fungi. The record is from RNAcentral.